GUGCAGUGAUGUAUUUGUCAACACAUCAUUCUGAAAAAAUGUGUGUGGUGACUUAUGUGACUGAGCACA
Small nucleolar RNA from Prolemur simus (greater bamboo lemur), 69 nucleotides. Its record names the gene SNORD63. It matches the Rfam family "Small nucleolar RNA SNORD63". Rfam says of the family: snoRNA U63 is found in both humans and mice. U63 is a member of the C/D class of snoRNA which contain C (UGAUGA) and D (CUGA) box motifs. NCBI's taxonomy places the organism in Eukaryota, Metazoa, Chordata, Mammalia, Primates, Lemuridae. The record is from Ensembl.